This 75-nucleotide transfer RNA is filed under the name Nitrospira sp. Its description in RNAcentral is "tRNA-Gly". It matches the Rfam family "tRNA". Rfam says of the family: Transfer RNA (tRNA) molecules are approximately 80 nucleotides in length. Their secondary structure includes four short double-helical elements and three loops (D, anti-codon, and T loops). Further hydrogen bonds mediate the characteristic L-shaped molecular structure. tRNAs have two regions of fundamental functional importance: the anti-codon, which is responsible for specific mRNA codon recognition, and the 3' end, to which the tRNAs corresponding amino acid is attached (by aminoacyl-tRNA synthetases). tRNAs cope with the degeneracy of the genetic code in two manners: having more than one tRNA (with a specific anti-codon) for a particular amino acid; and 'wobble' base-pairing, i.e. permitting non-standard base-pairing at the 3rd anti-codon position. The record is from RNAcentral. RNAcentral also lists the same sequence under 2 other names. Lineage: Bacteria; Pseudomonadati; Nitrospirota; Nitrospiria; Nitrospirales; Nitrospiraceae.
GCGGGAGUAGCUCAGUGGUAGAGUCCUAGCUUCCCAAGCUAGUUGUCGCGGGUUCAAAUCCCGUCUCCCGCUCCA